GUGAUAAAUUAGAUUCAAGAGCAAAGAAAACCAAACCAAGCCCUUCCGCCCCUCCCUUACGAAACUUCCAGUUUUCAGAUCUAGUAGCUAAAAUUAAAGCUAAAAUUUAUGAAGACUCUUGCCAGUAGGGAUAAGCACAGUCUUUGGUCUGUGCAGGUGAGAUGCCUCUAAUGAAGAGGUGAAAAGUUGUGUGAGUUGUAACUACAUCUAUGUAUAUUUUUUUCUUUUUCUUUUCUUUCCCCUUUUUCUUUUUUUCUUCUGUUUUCCAUUUUCCCUCUUCUCUCAUUU
This 288-nucleotide long non-coding RNA is filed under the name Gallus gallus (chicken). Lineage: Eukaryota; Metazoa; Chordata; Aves; Galliformes; Phasianidae. The record is from RNAcentral.